Molecule: ribosomal RNA, 546 nt
Filed under: uncultured bacterium
Lineage: Bacteria
Description: bacterial SSU rRNA
Rfam family: Bacterial small subunit ribosomal RNA
Source: RNAcentral
GGCGCAAGGGUGAGUAACACGUAGGCAACCUGCCCAGAGGACGGGAAUAACUUCGAGAAAUCGAGGCUAAUGCCCGAUGAUAUAUUGAUGCAGCAUUGCAUUGAUAUCAAAAGCCGAAAGGUGCCUUUGGAUGGGCCUGCGUCCCAUUAGGUAGUUGGUGAGGUAACGGCUCACCAAGCCGACGAUGGGUAGCUGAUCUGAGAGGACGAUCAGCCACACUGGAACUGAGACACGGUCCAGACUCCUACGGGAGGCAGCAGUGAGGAAUAUUGCGCAAUGCCCGAAAGGGUGACGCAGCGACGCCGCGUGGAGGAUGAAGGCCCUAUGGGUCGUAAACUCCUUUUGUGAGGGAAUAAUUUCCCGCUAUAGGCGGGAUUGAAUGUACCUCAGGAAAAAGCAUCGGCUAACUACGUGCCAGCAGCCGCGGUAAUACGUAGGAUGCUAGCGUUGUCCGGAUUUACUGGGUGUAAAGGGAGCGCAGGCGGAUUGGUAAGUCAGUGGUGAAAUUCUCAGGCUUAACCUGAGGACUGCCACCGAUACUGCUGA